Molecule: small RNA, 84 nt
Filed under: Marmota monax (woodchuck)
Lineage: Eukaryota; Metazoa; Chordata; Mammalia; Rodentia; Sciuridae
Source: RNAcentral
GCCAGGCAUGUUCGCACAUGCCUGUAAUCCCAGCAGCUUGGGAGGCUGAGGCAGGAGAAUCACAGGUUCAAAAGCCAGCCUCAG